Long non-coding RNA from Carassius gibelio (silver crucian carp), 1311 nucleotides. RefSeq lists it as uncharacterized. The transcript has 5 exons. The record is from RefSeq and is a predicted model, not a curated record. Lineage: Eukaryota; Metazoa; Chordata; Actinopteri; Cypriniformes; Cyprinidae.
GUACAGCUAAUAUAGCUGGAAUGACACCGAAAGCCAGACACAUUAAAUUUACAAAUGGCCGCGACCCCUCUUACAGAAAAAAAAUAAGGGGCAUAUGUUUAUUCAUAUGUUUAUUUAUGUAACGUAAGCGUGUGACUUUUAAUUCGUGACGUGCUUUCAUGGGCGUGCGCGCGGACCGGAUGGAGUUGCCAUGGAAACGGAGCGCAACACUGCAAAUGUCACGAGGAAACACCCCGUUUCUCGCUGAUUUCACUGUUUUCAGGAAUGGUUUAAUGUCUUCGAAAAAGUCCGUUAGCGUUUCUACCGUUUUCAGACGACGUAUCGUCAGAAGGGAGUUUUCAAGAUUUCUGAAGGAAGCUGCUGACAGAGAUGUAUGAAGCGCUGAAAAGGUUAAGUAACCUAAUAUGCAUUUUUUUCACAACAUAUAUCGCAAUGAAUCUGUUAUUUUAUUUAUUUAUUUUUUGCAUCUCAUCUGCUCUAGCUUGUUUCCGUCUAAUAAACCUGGAACUGCAGACUAAAUAUUGUUGGCUCUGUGUCAGAUUGCUUGUUUUGUUCCUAGAUUCUCCAGUGCUGAUGGCCUGCUGCAUCCAGCAGAGUCGGAGUGAACCUACUGUAAGACAACAUCUCCAAGAUGCUAUUGACCACAAGACUAGUACAGUUAUUAGAAACUGCACAGCACAGGACUUGCAGGACUUGUGAGGACUUCAGAUGAUACCAGUACUCAAAAGACCUUAGAUGAUGGCAACUAUAGAUGGACAUACAAACUACCGCCACUGCAAAAAAGAUUCUAAUUUGAAAGAAGUUUAUAAUGCAUGUUCGCUACUCCCAAUUCAGAAGACUGAAUCAGCCUGUGUAUCUGAAUGUUUCUCAUAAGCACUCCUCUCUGCCGCGUCUGAAUUUGGGAUUUUCCUUAGCUGUCAGUUAUAAACGUCAAAAUUAAAAGAAUUAAACGUUUGAAAUAUAUCAGUCUGUGUGUAAUGAAUAAAUAUAAUAUACAAGUUUCACUUUUUGAAUAGAAUUAGUGAAAUAAAUCAACUUUUUGAUGAUAUUCUAAUUAUAUGACCAGUACCUGUAUUUCAUUGCUCUUUUGUUGAUUUUGAUUGCUUCCAUUGUCCUCAUUCGUAAGUUGCUUUGGAUAAAAGUGUCUGCUAAAUGUAAAUGUAAUGUUAGUGUAUUUAACUAUAUUUAUAAAUAUUUAUCUGUAUUUUUUAUUUUGUAAUAAUUUAAAUGUAUUUGUUUUAUAUCUAUACAUGUAGUUGUAUUCAUGUAUGUAUAUUUAUUUGUCAAAUUUUUAUAUUUUAAUAAAGCAGU